RNAcentral lists this ribosomal RNA (391 nucleotides) under uncultured bacterium. RNAcentral describes it as "bacterial SSU rRNA". It matches the Rfam family "Bacterial small subunit ribosomal RNA", at positions 140 to 518 of the family's 1533-position model. The record is from RNAcentral.
GGGAUAGCCCAGGGAAACCUGGAUUAAUACCGGAUGGAGACGGGACCCGCGAAGGCGGGACCCGGAAAGGCGCUGCGGCGCCGCCGGGGGAUGAGUCUGCGUCCCAUUAGCUAGACGGCGGGGUAACGGCCCACCGUGGCGACGAUGGGUAGCCGGCCUGAGAGGGUGACGGCCACAUUGGAACUGAGACACGGUCCAGACUCCUACGGGAGGCAGCAGCUAAGAAUCUUCCGCAAUGGGCGAAAGCCUGACGGAGCGACGCCCGCGUGAACGAAGAAGGCCGUGAGGUUGUAAAGUUCUUUUCGGGAGGGGGAACAACCGUGGCAGGGAAUGGCCGCGGGAUGACGUGAAUCCCGGAAUAAGCCCCGGCUAACUACGUGCCAGCAGCCGC